RNAcentral lists this ribosomal RNA (1078 nucleotides) under Bacillus sp. NCCP-2404. RNAcentral's name for it is "bacterial SSU rRNA". It matches the Rfam family "Bacterial small subunit ribosomal RNA", at positions 56 to 1116 of the family's 1533-position model. The record is from RNAcentral. Lineage: Bacteria; Bacillati; Bacillota; Bacilli; Caryophanales; Bacillaceae.
UGCAAGUCGAGCGGACAGAAGGGAGCUUGCUCCCGGAUGUUAGCGGCGGACGGGUGAGUAACACGUGGGUAACCUGCCUGUAAGACUGGGAUAACUCCGGGAAACCGGAGCUAAUACCGGAUAGUUCCUUGAACCGCAUGGUUCAAGGAUGAAAGACGGUUUCGGCUGUCACUUACAGAUGGACCCGCGGCGCAUUAGCUAGUUGGUGAGGUAACGGCUCACCAAGGCGACGAUGCGUAGCCGACCUGAGAGGGUGAUCGGCCACACUGGGACUGAGACACGGCCCAGACUCCUACGGGAGGCAGCAGUAGGGAAUCUUCCGCAAUGGACGAAAGUCUGACGGAGCAACGCCGCGUGAGUGAUGAAGGUUUUCGGAUCGUAAAGCUCUGUUGUUAGGGAAGAACAAGUGCAAGAGUAACUGCUUGCACCUUGACGGUACCUAACCAGAAAGCCACGGCUAACUACGUGCCAGCAGCCGCGGUAAUACGUAGGUGGCAAGCGUUGUCCGGAAUUAUUGGGCGUAAAGGGCUCGCAGGCGGUUUCUUAAGUCUGAUGUGAAAGCCCCCGGCUCAACCGGGGAGGGUCAUUGGAAACUGGGAAACUUGAGUGCAGAAGAGGAGAGUGGAAUUCCACGUGUAGCGGUGAAAUGCGUAGAGAUGUGGAGGAACACCAGUGGCGAAGGCGACUCUCUGGUCUGUAACUGACGCUGAGGAGCGAAAGCGUGGGGAGCGAACAGGAUUAGAUACCCUGGUAGUCCACGCCGUAAACGAUGAGUGCUAAGUGUUAGGGGGUUUCCGCCCCUUAGUGCUGCAGCUAACGCAUUAAGCACUCCGCCUGGGGAGUACGGUCGCAAGACUGAAACUCAAAGGAAUUGACGGGGGCCCGCACAAGCGGUGGAGCAUGUGGUUUAAUUCGAAGCAACGCGAAGAACCUUACCAGGUCUUGACAUCCUCUGACAACCCUAGAGAUAGGGCUUUCCCUUCGGGGACAGAGUGACAGGUGGUGCAUGGUUGUCGUCAGCUCGUGUCGUGAGAUGUUGGGUUAAGUCCCGCAACGAGCGCAACCCUUGAUCUUAGUU